GUGGGAGUGGUGGAAUUAGUAGACACGCCAGAUUUAGGAUCUGGUGCCGCGAGGAGUGAGAGUUCGAGCCUCUCCGCCCCUA
Molecule: transfer RNA, 82 nt
Filed under: Aequorivita sp. 609
Lineage: Bacteria; Pseudomonadati; Bacteroidota; Flavobacteriia; Flavobacteriales; Flavobacteriaceae
Description: tRNA-Leu
Rfam family: tRNA
About the family: Transfer RNA (tRNA) molecules are approximately 80 nucleotides in length.
Source: RNAcentral